UAGGUUAAAGUCCGUCGGAUUGGAUGACUUGUUGUUAUUAGUUGUUUGUGGGAUCAAGGUCCGCUGACCUAG
Molecule: transfer RNA, 72 nt
Filed under: Laticauda laticaudata (blue-ringed sea krait)
Lineage: Eukaryota; Metazoa; Chordata; Lepidosauria; Squamata; Elapidae
Description: tRNA-Asn
Source: RNAcentral